GGGAUACCACUUGGAAACAGGUGCUAAUACCGGAUAACAACAAUAGCUGCAUGGCUAUUGCUUAAAAGGCGGCGAAAGCUGUCGCUAAAGGAUGGACCCGCGGUGCAUUAGCUAGUUGGUAAGGUAAUGGCUUACCAAGGCGACGAUGCAUAGCCGAGUUGAGAGACUGAUCGGCCACAUUGGGACUGAGACACGGCCCAAACUCCUACGGGAGGCAGCAGUAGGGAAUCUUCCACAAUGGGCGAAAGCCUGAUGGAGCAACGCCGCGUGAGUGAAGAAGGUUUUCGGAUCGUAAAGCUCUGUUGUUGGUGAAGAAGGAUAGAGGUAGUAACUGGCCCCUAUUUGACGGUAAUCAACCAGAAAGUCACGGCUAACUACGUGCCAGCAGCCGCGGUAAUACGUAGGUGGCAAGCGUUGUCCGGAUUUAUUGGGCGUAAAGCGAGCGCAGGCGGAAAGAUAAGUCUGAUGUGAAAGCCCCCGGCUUAACCGAGGAAUUGCAUCGGAAACUGUGUUUCUUGAGUGCAGAAGAGGGGAGUGGAACUCCAUGUGUAGCGGUGGAAUGCGUAGAUAUAUGGAAGAACACCAGUGGCGAAGGCGGCUCUUUGGUCUGUAACUGACGCUGAGGCUCGAAAGCAUGGGUAGCGAACAGGAUUAGAUACCCUGGUAGUCCAUGCCGUAAACGAUGAGUGAUAAGUGUUGG
Molecule: ribosomal RNA, 700 nt
Filed under: uncultured bacterium
Lineage: Bacteria
Description: bacterial SSU rRNA
Rfam family: Bacterial small subunit ribosomal RNA
Source: RNAcentral